RNAcentral lists this ribosomal RNA (497 nucleotides) under uncultured bacterium. Its description in RNAcentral is "partial 16S ribosomal RNA". It matches the Rfam family "Bacterial small subunit ribosomal RNA", at positions 28 to 507 of the family's 1533-position model. The record is from RNAcentral.
GAUGAACGCUGGCGGCGUGCCUAAUACAUGCAAGUCGAGCGAACGGACGAAAAGCUUGCUUCUCUGAUGUUAGCGGCGGACGGGUGAGUAACACGUGGAUAACCUACCUAUAAGACUGGGAUAACUUCGGGAAACCGUAGCUAAUACCGGAUAAUAUUUUGAACCGCAGGGUUCAAAAGUGAAAGACGGUCUUGCUGUCACUUAUAGAUGGAUCCGCGCUGCAUUAUCUAGUUGGUAAGGUAACGGCUUACCAAGGCAACGAUGCAUAGCCGACCUGAGAGGGUGACAGGCCACCCUGGAACUGAGACAAGGUCCAGACUCCUACGGGAGGCAGCAGUCGGGAAUCUUGCGCCAUGCGCGCAAGCUUGCCGGAACCACGCCGAGUGAGUGAUGAAGGUCCUCGGAUCGUAACACUCUGUUAUUAGGGAAGACCCUAUCUGUAAGUAACUGUGCCCAUCUUGCCGGUACCUAAUCAGAAAGCCACGGCUACCUACGUG